UGCCAACCGGGUGUCUGUACUAAGUUCGGCAUCAAUAUGAUGACCUCCCAGGAGCAGGCGGCCACCAGGUUGCCUAAGGAUGAGUGAACUGGCCCAGAUCAGAAAGGGAGCAGGUCAGAACUCCUGCACCAACUGGUAGUGUGACUGUGCCUGGGCA
RNAcentral lists this signal recognition particle RNA (157 nucleotides) under Chlorocebus sabaeus (green monkey). RNAcentral's name for it is "Metazoan signal recognition particle RNA". It matches the Rfam family "Metazoan signal recognition particle RNA", at positions 96 to 252 of the family's 299-position model. Rfam says of the family: The signal recognition particle (SRP) is a universally conserved ribonucleoprotein. It is involved in the co-translational targeting of proteins to membranes. The record is from Rfam by way of RNAcentral. Lineage: Eukaryota; Metazoa; Chordata; Mammalia; Primates; Cercopithecidae.